RNAcentral lists this ribosomal RNA (494 nucleotides) under uncultured bacterium. Its description in RNAcentral is "partial 16S ribosomal RNA". It matches the Rfam family "Bacterial small subunit ribosomal RNA", at positions 28 to 506 of the family's 1533-position model. The record is from RNAcentral.
GACGAACGCUGGCGGCGUGCCUAAUACAUGCAAGUAGAACGCUGAAGGAGGAGCUUGCUUCUCUGGAUGAGUUGCGAACGGGUGAGUAACGCGUAGGUAACCUGCCUGGUAGCGGGGGAUAACUAUUGGAAACGAUAGCUAAUACCGCAUAAGAGUAGAUGUCGCAUGACAUUUGCUUAAAAGGUGCAAUUGCAUCACUACCAGAUGGACCUGCGUUGUAUUAGCUAAUUGGUGAGGUAACGGCUCACCAAGGCAACGAUACAUAGCCGACCUGAGAGGGUGAUUGGCCACACUGGGACUGAGACACGGCCCAGACUCCUACGGGAGGCAGCAGUAGGGAAUCUUCGGCAAUGGACGGAAGUCUGACCGAGCAACGCCGCGUGAGUGAAGAAGGUUUUCGGAUCGUAAAGCUCUGUUGUAAGAGAAGAACGAGUGUGAGAGUGGAAAGUUCACACUGUGACGGUAUCUUACCAGAAAGGGACGGCUAACUACGU